Long non-coding RNA from Sinocyclocheilus grahami, 440 nucleotides. RefSeq lists it as uncharacterized. Lineage: Eukaryota; Metazoa; Chordata; Actinopteri; Cypriniformes; Cyprinidae. The record is from RefSeq and is a predicted model, not a curated record. The transcript is spliced from 3 exons.
AACCCCGUCUGAGAGCGCGGCCAAAGAGGACAAACCCGCAGAGGAGAAACCCUCGCCCUCCUCUACACCCGCCAGUUCUGGUUCUUCACCAAAUGCAAACAUAUUUGAAGAGGCGACAUCUGCGCUGGUGACGGGUCAGUCCUACGAGAACAUGGUGAUGGAGAUCAUGCUGAUGGGAUACGAGAGAGACAGAGUGGUGGCGGCACUGAGAGCUAGUUUCAACAAUCCUGACCGCGCCGUCGAGUACCUGCUCACGGUGAGAGACCGACAGUCUGCAUAUAACACCACAAAUCAGCGGAUUACAGGGAUUUAAGGCAAAACACAUCAGGUUAGGAGGGUACAGUUUUAAUUUUUAGGAAUCGUAAUACUUUCACCAGUUGAUUAAUCAAGUCAAGUCACCUUUAUUUGUAUAGCUCUGUAUACAGUACUGAUCGUGUCAA